CAAAGGCUCCAAAGGAAGCCACGGCUAACUCUGUGCCAGCAGCCGCGGUAAUACAGAGGUGGCAAGCGUUGUUCGGAAUUAUUGGGCGUAAAGAGCACGUAGGUGGAUUUGUAAGUCAGACGUGAAAGCCUUCUGUUCAACGGAAGAAUUGCAUCUGAAACUACAAACCUCGAGUGUAGGAGGGGAGAAUGGAACUUCUGGUGGAGCGGUGAAAUGCGCAGAUAUCAGAAGGAACGCCGGCGGCGAAAGCGAUUCUCUGGCCUAUUACUGACACUCGGUGUGCGAAAGCUAGGGGAGCAAACGGGAUUAGAUACCCCGGUAGUCCUAGCCGUAAA
RNAcentral lists this ribosomal RNA (335 nucleotides) under uncultured Planctomycetales bacterium. Its description in RNAcentral is "bacterial SSU rRNA". It matches the Rfam family "Bacterial small subunit ribosomal RNA", at positions 473 to 806 of the family's 1533-position model. The record is from RNAcentral. Lineage: Bacteria; Pseudomonadati; Planctomycetota; Planctomycetia; Planctomycetales.